AUUGAACGCUGGCGGCAUGCCUUACACAUGCAAGUCGAACGGUAACGGGCCUUCGGGUGCCGACGAGUGGCGAACGGGUGAGUAAUGCAUCGGAACGUACCUUUCAGUGGGGGAUAACGUAGCGAAAGUUACGCUAAUACCGCAUAUUCUGUGAGCAGGAAAGCAGGGGAUCGCAAGACCUUGCGCUGAUUGAGCGGCCGAUGUCAGAUUAGCUAGGUGGUGAGGUAAAGGCUCACCAAGGCGACGAUCUGUAGCGGGUCUGAGAGGAUGAUUCGCCACACUGGAACUGCGACACGCGCCAGACUCCUACGGGAGUCAGCAGGGUGGAAUUUGGGACAAUGGGGGCAACCCUGAUCCAGCCAUGCCGCGUGAGUGAAGAAGGCCUUCGGGUUGUAAAGCUCUUUCGGCCGGGAAGAAAUCGCACGGGCUAAUACCCUGUGUGGAUGACGGUACCGGAAUAAGAAGCACCGGCUAACUACGUGCCAGCCGCCGCGGUAA
RNAcentral lists this ribosomal RNA (498 nucleotides) under uncultured bacterium. Its description in RNAcentral is "partial 16S ribosomal RNA". It matches the Rfam family "Bacterial small subunit ribosomal RNA", at positions 30 to 523 of the family's 1533-position model. The record is from RNAcentral.